Molecule: long non-coding RNA, 4492 nt
Filed under: Cricetulus griseus (Chinese hamster)
Lineage: Eukaryota; Metazoa; Chordata; Mammalia; Rodentia; Cricetidae
Description: lncRNA (ENSCGRG00000025928.1)
Source: RNAcentral
AGUUGAGAAUCAUGGCUGCGGGAAAAUUUGCAAGCCUUCCGAGAAACAUGGUUGUGAAUCACCAGUUCCCCUUGGCCUCGUCCAUGGACCUUCUGAGCAGCAGGUCCCCUCUGGCUGAACAUCGCGCAGAUACCUAUCAAGACGUGUCUAUACACGGCACUCUUCCACGGAAGAAAAAAGGCCCUCCUCCCAUUCGGUCCUGCGACAAUGUCAGUCACAUGGGCACCCUCCCCCACUCCAAAUCCCCACGACAGAGCUCACCUCUGACCCAGGACAUCAUCCAGGAAAACCCACUGCAAGACUGGAAAGGGGAAACCUUCACCUUCAGGGAUCCUUAUCUUCUGGACCCAACUCUGGAAUAUGUGAAGGUAGGAAAGCGGGGCUUAACAUGGACUUAUCACUCUGGGUAACGGUAUGCCAAAUGUGCCUGCAGGAUGGUUGUGUUGAGAGCUGGCAAUAUUACCUGCCUGAAACAGCCAGAAGAAGUUUGGCUCUCACUGGCCUUAUGUGAGCUUGGCAAGGCUCUCUAUCAUCCUGUUAAGUCUAUGGUCUUUCACUCAUGGGACCCAGAUAUGUUUUAAAAUUUGUAGUCGUGGGUUUGUUUUUGUUUUGUAAGUUCUAGCUUACACUCAGGAAGACCUCCAAAGAGGUCUGGAGUCAGCAACGUAUAAUCAAACUCAUUAUUGUGGCACUGACACAUAAUAUUCACACUGGAUAAACAGCUCACAGAGGACUUUAUGUGUCCAGAUCAUAUUUUGCUACCCAGUGAAGUCAUUCUGUUUUGUCAUUGAGUGAAUUCUCUUUCUUUUUAUUUUCCUCUCAGAUUUGGGGGAACUUUGGCAGGGCGUAGAAGAGGCAUUGUGGAUAAAGCUUUAUCUUGGGUGGGAGGAUGAAGGCCCUGGGGUUUUAAGAGCUGGCUUUUCCUCUUCAAUAAUCCCCUCAGUAACUAACUUGGGCCCAAGCAGUAAACCUGCCCCUCAGAGGGGCUCACAUUUAAUGCUGCUUAGCUGCCCAGCCAUUCUCAAGGUCUGUCUGUCCUUUCUGCCCUCCUCCCACUUCAGGUAGAUUUUACUUUUAACCCAUAAUUAAAUCAGGCACUUCUUACAGAAGAGAGGCAUGAUCACAUUGAGAUUUGUGACAAUGGCUCUUGCUGUUGGACUCCAUGGCAUGAGUUAGGUUAUAUGAUCUCUCCUGAGGACCCAUGGCCGAUCUUCUCUACUCUGUGUUCAGAGCACACAGGCCUGUGGCUCCUAUAGGUCUGGCAUUCCCUCCUUUUUGGCCAGAGCAGAGGGUAGACGGGAGCAGAGAAAGUUCCAGUCAGACUGCCUGCUCAUGUUGAAUAGGCCAGAAUUACUUCUUCCCCUUUUCAUUUUUUCUCUUGUGUAGCCUUCGUCUCCUGGAACUGGCUCUGUAGGCCAGGCUGGCCUUGAACUCAUAGUGAUCCUCUUUCUUCUGCCUCCUGAGUGCUGGGAUUAAAGGCAUGUGGCACACCAUCGGCCCUCUUCCCUUUCCUUAAUUCUGAAUAACGUGUGAACCAUCGGGACUGUGGCAAGUGUGUGAGCCGCAGCCAGCAGGGUCAGAGGUUUAGAAACGGUGUGUCUGCACCCCUCCAGUAUGCAACACAUCUGUUUUCAUACAGGUCAUGCAUCUCUAAGCCUUGAUAGUACCCCCCCCAUAGAGUGUGUUUUGACUUGACGGUAGCAAGAAGACAGUGUGAGACAGAACAGCAGUUCAGCUUUCAGAAGUCACUCCACUCCAUGGUUCAGAGGUUGGCUGUCUCCCACCAGAGGCUCAGACCCUCUGUGUUCACCAAGUGUAACCCUGAUCCUUGCUCUAGAAACUCAUUUCCCUCUUUUACAAAACUCUAAACCUCUUUUCUAAGACUUCCGUGGUGAAUCUGCUAACAAUAGGCCAUUUUAGAACGGUCUGUUUUAAUGCAAUAGCCCUCACUUCUCUGUGGUUGUAUCUACCUACAACCAACCAGUAAUCAAAAACACUAGGUCAAAACUUCCAGAAGUAAGCAGUUCAUUCCCUUUAAAUCGUGCCUGUUUCUGAGUAGCAUCUUGAAAUCUUGCUGUGUCCUGCUCAUCCUUUUGAUGUAGCCACACUGUAUGGGCUGCUGUUCCAUCCGUGACAAGGAGUCCAUUGGUUGUCACAGUAUUGCAGGGCUUGUGUUCACGUGACCCUCAUUUUACUCAUAGGUUCCAAAGCACAGGCAAGAGAUGGGACGGGAGCUCUAGUGUGUCAGACAUGCAAGGAUGGACUGACUGUUUCUGUGUGGCAGCCCUGCAGGGCACAUAGGAUAAGGCAUAGUGUGGAGUCUAUAGACUGUCACUAUCUGUGAUUUCAGCCAUCCACUGAGGGGCUUGGAAUAUAUCCCUGAGGAUAAGGGAAGGACUAUCGUAUUAUCUGAGUUAUUGCAACUUAUUCAUGAAUGUCAGUCCAAGUAAGCUGAACGGUGUUAGCAUAAAGCACGUAGGGAACCUUGGUGGAUUCCAUGGCAGGCGAGGGAGACCAAUGCGGGGGACAAACUCGCCAGGCAGACAGAGCCCAGUAAAAAGUUUUAUUAGAAAGGGAAGGGGAGGAAGGAAAGAGAAAAGGAGGUAAAGAGACGCAGAGACUGAGAGAGGACAGAAGAGAAGAGGGAGACAGGAAAAGUCCUGUCUGCCCCAGGGGAACAGCAGGAAAGAGAGUGAGCAGGAAAGAGAGCAUAAGUGGGCAGGGGUCUUUCUUUUAAAGGGGUCCUUUGUACCUGGGUUGACCAGGAUACUGCCUGAGUACAUUCUGCCAGGUGACAGGGGCAGGCCAGCAUAACGCCUGAAUCCUUACAAAUAGUAUAGACCAAGAAGUGGUGUAGUGAAUUUCAAUGUCUUCCAUUUAUCCUGGCUUUCCCUGCCUUCUCCUGGCAAUGGCAAGGUUGAUAGAACUGCCCUUUGGAGUCUUGGAGAGUCUUACUUGCAAGGAGAUUGUGGGGUUGAGGUGCUGAGCCUCCAUGUGGGUGGAGGAAACCAAACAGUGUCCUCUAGAAGGGCAAUAAAGUGUACUUAACCACUGAGCCAUCUCUCCAGCCCUCAGCCUUUAUUUUCUUUCUUUGCCCUUAUCUACAGCAGUGGUUUUUAACCCUCCUAAUGCAGCAACCCUUUAAUAAAGUUUCUCGUCGAGCAGUGGCGGCACAUGCCUUUAAUCCCAGCACUCAAGAGGCAGAGGCAGGUGGAUCUCUGUGAGUUUGAGGCCAGCUUAGUCUAUAGAGUGAGUUCCAGGACAACCAAGGCUACACAGAGAAACUGUCUUGGGGAAAAAAAAAUACAGUUCCUCAUGUUGUGGUGACUCCCAACCAUAAAAUUAUUUCCGUUGCUGCUUCGUAACUGUAAUUUGCUGCUGUUAUGAAUUGCAAUGUAAAUAUCUGUGUUUUCUGAUGGUCGUAGGCAAUCCCUGUGAAAGGGUCAUUUGACACCUCCAAAUGGGGUCACAACCCACAGGUUGAGAACCACUGGUCUAAAGCAAUGGCUGGGGAGAGGGUUGGGCCAGUGUGGAAUAUUUCAUUGCCUCAGUGGUCCACAAUGACAUUGAGAGAGGCCUCUGAGCACAAGGUCCCAAGGGAGCCUACUUGUCAAUCUUCUUGAGUCAGUUCUGUCCAUCACAGCACCUCUCUGAUGGAAUUGUCCCUCAGAGCCAGGCAGAUGGUGUCAGGGUAACUGGUGCCUGUGACGACUAAAGAGAGACCAAGGCAGAUGAGAGGCGUGGAUAAAGGGAGGUGCAGUUUAGCCCCUUGACUUUUAGCUGCGGCUUCCCUACAGUCUCCUGGUACAUUCAAUGUCUUUGGGGCAUCAAGAAAAAAAUAAAUUUUACAUUUAGUCCAUUGUGCCAUGAAACGCCAUUCUGGUAGGUUCACCAUUGGCCUAAUGAACGAGAGACAAGGGGUCAGAUGUUUCAGGAUUUAAGGUUACCUGAGAACAGGAGUGGUCUUCUCAGUGGACAAACCCCAUCUGAACAGAAGUACCUGACUGUGGCAAGAUGGAGUGUCUCCCUCACUCCUCAGUUACGAAGCUGCCCUAUGCCUCCCGGGCCUGAGGCGCUAAGGCUGUCCCCAUAGCUGGUGCCUGGACUGAAGUGUCAGGACAAGACAGUGCUAGAGGAGACAGAAUCCAGACUUCAGCUCUGCCCAGCUUGAGUUCUGUCCUCGCAUCUGAGGACCUGUAUUUGCAGCACAGUAAUAUGGCUGCAACAGAAGAGACUGUUGCUUAGUUACCUAAGUUCUUCUCAGGUGGAAUGGAAGGAAAUCACCAGGCUGAGAAGCCCCAGGGUGGUUGGCGGGGUUCUUUGACACUGUCCAUGGGGCUAGCCUCCUGCUGGACCUCCUACUUAGACCUUAAAGGCUGCAUUUGAUAUAUGGAUGAGACAGCAAAAUAAAUAGCAGAUCCAAAGUACCCCACCCCACAGCAGGGAGGAGAGUGGCGUUGGCAUCGCCUUCCUUGCUGAUUUUUGUCUUUCG